Molecule: ribosomal RNA, 475 nt
Filed under: uncultured organism
Description: partial 16S ribosomal RNA
Rfam family: Bacterial small subunit ribosomal RNA
Source: RNAcentral
CGUACACUCCUACGGGAGGCAGCAGUGGGGAAUAUUGCACAAUGGGCGCAAGCCUGAUGCAGCCAUGCCGCGUGUAUGAAGAAGGCCUUCGGGUUGUAAAGUACUUUCAGCGGGGAGGAAGGCGAUAAGGUUAAUAACCUUGUUGAUUGACGUUACCCGCAGAAGAAGCACCGGCUAACUCCGUGCCAGCAGCCGCGGUAAUACGGAGGGUGCAAGCGUUAAUCGGAAUUACUGGGCGUAAAGCGCACGCAGGCGGUCUGUCAAGUCGGAUGUGAAAUCCCCGGGCUCAACCUGGGAACUGCAUUCGAAACUGGCAGGCUAGAGUCUUGUAGAGGGGGGUAGAAUUCCAGGUGUAGCGGUGAAAUGCGUAGAGAUCUGGAGGAAUACCGGUGGCGAAGGCGGCCCCCUGGACAAAGACUGACGCUCAGGUGCGAAAGCGUGGGGAGCAAACAGGAUUAGAAACCCCUGUAGUCCC